GACGAACGCUGGCGGCGUGCCUAAUACAUGCAAGUAGAACGCUGAAGGAAGGAGCUUGCUCUUUCUGGAUGAGUUGCGAACGGGUGAGUAACGCGUAGGUAACCUGCCUGGUAGCGGGGGAUAACUAUUGGAAACGAUAGCUAAUACCGCAUAAAAUUGAUUAUUGCAUGAUAGUCAAUUAAAAGGUGCAACUGCACCACUACCAGAUGGACCUGCGUUGUAUUAGCUAGUUGGUGGGGUAACGGCUCACCAAGGCGACGAUACAUAGCCGACCUGAGAGGGUGAGCGGCCACACUGGGACGGAGACACGGCCCAGACUCCUACGGGAGGCAGCAGUAGGGAAUCUUCGGCAAUGGACGGAAGUCUGACCGAGCAACGCCGCGUGAGUGAAGAAGGUUUUCGGAUCGUAAAGCUCUGUUGUAAGAGAAGAACGAGUGUGAGAGUGGAAAGUUCACACUGUGACGGUAUCUUACCAGAAAGGGACGGCUAACUACGUG
RNAcentral lists this ribosomal RNA (497 nucleotides) under uncultured bacterium. Its description in RNAcentral is "partial 16S ribosomal RNA". It matches the Rfam family "Bacterial small subunit ribosomal RNA", at positions 28 to 507 of the family's 1533-position model. The record is from RNAcentral.